Non-coding RNA from Xyrichtys novacula (pearly razorfish), 637 nucleotides. The record is from the annotation of a GenBank genome assembly. Lineage: Eukaryota; Metazoa; Chordata; Actinopteri; Labriformes; Labridae.
CAAGAAAACAGUCAACAAGAAAACAGUCAACAAGAAAACAGUCAACAAAAAACAGUCAGCAAGAAAACAGUCAAAACCAAAACAGUCAACAAAAAACAGUCAACAAGAAAACAGUCAACAAGAAAACAGUCAACAAAAAACAGUCAACAAGAAAACAGUCAGCAAAAAAACAGUCAACAAGAAAACAGUCAGCAAGAAAACAGUCAGCAAAAAAACAGUCAACAAGAAAACAGUCAGCAAGAAAACAGUCAACAAGAAAACAGUCAGCAAGAAAACAGUCAGCAAGAAAACAGUCAACAAGAAAACAGUCAACAAGAAAACAGUCAACAAAAAACAGUCAACAAGAAAACAGUCAGCAAAAAAACGGUCAACAAGAAAACAGUCAGCAAGAAAACAGUCAGCAAAAAAACAGUCAACAAGAAAACAGUCAGCAAGAAAACAGUCAACAAGAAAACAGUCAACAAGAAAACAGUCAACAAGAAAAUGCUGUUCCCCCGUGUCGUUCAGGAGCCCAAACAAAGUUAGCGUGCUACAAUAUCGGACAGUAGAAACCAACCAGAAAGUUCGGAAAAUUGUCUGAAUCCUCCUUUGGCCACGACUGCCGACACAAGCAAGAAAACAAAGUAAAUACCGGAGA